GACGAACGCUGGCGGCGUGCUUAACACAUGCAAGUCGAACGGAAAGGCCCUGCUUUUGUGGGGUGCUCGAGUGGCGAACGGGUGAGUAACACGUGAGUAACCUGACCUUGACUUUGGGAUAACUUCAGGAAACUGGGGCUAAUACCGGAUAGGAGCUCCUGCUGCAUGGUGGGGGUUGGAAAGUUUCGGCGGUUGGGGAUGGACUCGCGGCCUAUCAGCUUGUUGGUGGGGUAGUGGCUUACCAAGGCUUUGACGGGUAGCCGGCCUGAGAGGGUGACCGGCCACAUUGGGACUGAGAUACGGCCCAGACUCGUACGGGAGGCAGCAGUGGGGAAUAUUGCACAAUGGGCGGAAGCCUGAUGCAGCAACGCCGCGUGCGGGAUGACGGCCUUCGGGUUGUAAACCGCUUUCGCCUGUGACGAAGCGUGAGUGACGGUAAUGGGUAAAGAAGCACCGGCUAACUACGUG
This 468-nucleotide ribosomal RNA is filed under the name uncultured bacterium. RNAcentral describes it as "partial 16S ribosomal RNA". It matches the Rfam family "Bacterial small subunit ribosomal RNA", at positions 28 to 507 of the family's 1533-position model. The record is from RNAcentral.